Zeugodacus cucurbitae (melon fly) is the source of this 3933-nucleotide long non-coding RNA. RefSeq lists it as uncharacterized. NCBI's taxonomy places the organism in Eukaryota, Metazoa, Arthropoda, Insecta, Diptera, Tephritidae. The record is from RefSeq and is a predicted model, not a curated record. The transcript is spliced from 3 exons.
AUCUUAAUAAAAUUUCUUCAAUAAAUUGCGAGAGUAUAAAAUGUUCGGUUGCACCUGAACUUAGCCUUUCCUUACUUUUUUUAUUUAUGCGUCAAAAUUCAACAUAUUUGCGUUAGAUGGCAAACAAACUGUGCAAAAAACCAGGUAAAACGAUGCGCAUACCCAAUUUGCGUGCGACUGGACGAGGAUACGUAAUGGUGCGGGAUUGUAUGUCAGUAUACAGAGUCGGUAAUUUGGUAUUUAUCGACAAUAUUAUGAACCAGUAUGGCUUCAUAGAUAUUCUGAAAGAAAAUUUAAUACCAAGAGCUGAGAAAAGGGAAAUGGCUCUUAAAGAAGAGUGGAGCAAAAAUUUCGCGAUACAUGCAAAAGUUAGUCAAUUCGAUACUAAAAACGAUUAAUACUUUGAAAAACGCCAAGGGCGGCCCAACUAAGUAUUAAACUAAGAUUGUUUGUUAUUAUUUACCAAUUUGCUUCAUAAAAUGUUCUGUACGAUUUUGAGUGAGACACAAAUUUAUGAGUUGUGAACAUGAAAUAUUUUUUUGUUAAGUUAACUACUGAUUUUUUUUUUUUGGUUUUUAUUGUUAUAUAACAAGUUCAAAUAUUAAACAAACUACCAUAAUUUUUAUUUAAUUUUUGAAAAUACAGAAAAUACAGUUAUAUUUUUUUUUAAGUGACACUCGCUGUACAUACGUAACCCUAAUUAUUUACUAAACUGCUGCACAAGUGCACUUGCAAUCACUUGAAGAAACAACCAAAGUUCUCGUGUUUGAACAAGUUUUGUUUUGAGCUACAUAUAUCAUGGCUGCUUGUGAAGUAUUAUUUUGUGUGUUUUAUUUAAAUCAGUGAUCUGCAGCCUAAUUAAAGUUUAAAUUAUUGAAGCACCCAUUUUUUAAAUAAGUAAAACGUAAAAUAAAAGUUGUCUAAAGCCAAAAUAUGGAAUUGAAGAGGGUGAUACAGUAAUACUUCAUUGCACUGUCAAUUCGAAGCACGCAAUAGAAGCUACGCCAACAAUUGUCAAUGGCGAAACCAUUGAAUACGCAAAUAAUUGUUGAAUAUAAUAAUAUUAUCUUGCCUUAAAUUCUAAUUAAUUUUCCACACAGAUAUUUCAAAACUCAUAUCAUAUAUUGUAGCAGCGUAGAACUUUCGGAGCGAUGGAAUAUGUGCAGCAAGCAAAUCCAGAACUAUGGAUCCAAACGCUGCUACAUGGAACACAAAUCAUUUACACACCAGAUAUUAAGUUUAAUGUCACUUUUUUACGUGCAAUUAAACCUGUUGGUGAACACAAGCACGAGAAUUGGAACGAUUUAGUUAGGUGCUUUUGAAACCGUUUAUUAUCACGACGUGUGUCAACUGGGUUUUGCCAAUGAGCUAGAGGGCAAAGCAGUUUCAGUAGUUUUGGGCUUACCGGCACUUGGCCGUGCCAUUAGCAGCUAAAACACAGAAAUUAAAGGGAGGACAUUUUUGAUUCAUUUUCACCUUGUAUUGAGGAAUCAUAACGUUGUAGUAUCUCUUUACAAGGACAUAAAUUCACCGAAAUUAGUUCAAUGGAAAUACUACAGCAAGAGCAUGGAUGUUAAGACUUGAACGGUGCCGUGCUAGAUUUAGAAUUCCUGAAACAUAAAAACCUUCCUCCCAGAUGAAUCUAGUACUAGUGAAUUUAAUGAAAGAACAGGUCCUAAAGAAAGCAAAAGAGUCCUCACAUAAUGUGCGCAGCUUACACUUCCUGGCAAAAUUUGUUGAACUAUUCAAUACGUUUUACGUAUGUAUAUAGUGUAGUACGAUAAUAGAUGUAUAAAGUAAAUAUAAUAAUAAACACCUAAAUGGCGUGUUAUUUUCAAUAAAUAUGAAAUAUAAUUGAUGAUGAAUGUUAUUAAAUUCUCAUUUGGGAUUUUGGUAGAACUAACCGAAAAUAGCGGGUAUAUUUUCUGGGCUUUUGUGGGUCGCAGUACUGAAAGUGCAGGUGGAGUUUUCGUUCGCAGUUUUGGGUCUUUCAUCCGUAAUAGUACCAAGAACAGUACUGAAAGUGCACAUGUAGUUUUGGUUCGCAGUUUUGGGUCUUUCAUCCGGGAUCGUACCAAGACCAUUCACAGAAUUGUGCAAGAGGUAUAUAUAACUUGUUAAAUUAUGAAUUUAAUGUGUAAGAAAGGGACGUACACUAUAGUUUCGGGUACUUUUGUCAAUUCGCCCUUAAGAAUGGCAUAGAAACUUUCAUUGAAACUGCUAGUACCGCUCCCUGGCAUUUCACCGAAGAAUUCGCCGGUACCUGUCUUGCAGGGAAAUAUUCGUUUUCGCCGUUUCCUUCGCCUAUUCUUUGUGAAUUCGCCACUCCCAAUUCGAGCUGUCGAAGUUCGACUGAAAUUUCCUUCGCUUCGCCAGUGACAAUACUAGCCUAAGAGAAUCUGAGCUAAUGGAGGAGGAUUGCGAAGCGAAGGAGAAAAAGGCCAUAGAGAGUAAACACACUGAACUCAGAAUGUACUUUUGUUAUAGUUGGGUAAUAUCCACCUUAACAACCUUUAAAUAUAGUUUGUAACUUAAAAAUAUUUAUUUAUAUAUAAAUGUAAUGUGUUUAAGUUUAUUAUAACUGAAAACAAAAAUCGCCGCUAUGGCCGCUGUUCAUUUGAAAAUAAAAUUUUAAGUGAAUGGAGGAAAGUGUGUUUUAAAUAUUUCUUUUAUUUUGUUAAGUGUUUUUGAAUAUUUAUCGAACUUAUAAAUGCAAGUUAACUCCACCGAUAAGAUAUUGCAAUUUGAACUACUAAACAAAUGUGACCAAUAUGUCAUUGGCACAUCUACUAUUAAGAAUCCUGUUACACACUCGUUGUACACAUUAGAUUGUAAGAUGAUCUUUUCACUUACCACACGUGAUUUUAAGUGGACAUUCGUCACACACAUUAGAUUGUAAGAUGAACUUUUCAUUUACCACAUGUAGCGCGUCUAAAGUGGAACAUAUGUUUAAAAGAUGACUAUUAGAUUGUAAGAAUAUUUGUACUUAGUCUUAAGAACAGGAUUGUAUAAAAGUAAGUAAAAUACAGAUAAAACGGCAGUCGUUUCCAAGACUCGGACGUUUUUCGAUCGCUUGACUAAAUACUCGUUUUUUAUUUGUUAAAAACCUUUUACAUAAGGUCAAUAAAUUAAUUGGCGAUCCUGUCAGGAGAAAUAAAAAACUCCUAUGGACCAAAAUGUUUUAAACGGUUCGGUUUAAAAACAAACAAACGCAAACAAGUAUUGCGAAAUCGCAAGAAAAGUGAACAAAAAACAUACAAUCAAUCCAUUUUCGAAAAAAUAGCAAACGAAACGAAAUAUUUAAAUUUCCAACUAAAUUGUUAUUAAAAAAGUGAUACAUCACUCACAGUUUCUUGGAAUAUCGAACAAUCCAUUUACAAAAUCAAGUGGAUAAAUAAAUAAUUUAAUUUUAAUAAAAAGAACAACAACAACAACAACAACAUAUUUUUAAAGUGCGCAAGUUAUAAAGUCAACUCAUAGAAAUCAGUUGGCAAUUGAAGAAGCAGCUCCAACCGCCAAAGGCAGAGCAAUAACAACAACUUCAACGACAACAAGUUAGUAGUAAUUAUUAUAAAUAUUAAUUCCUCUUGUAUUAAUUUCGAAAAGCUCUUGUACUGUGAGUAUUGUAUUAAUAACAAGCAUGAAACUCACAAGUGACCGUACAUAAGACAAAGAAAACAAUAUUAAUUAUUAUAUUAUUUAUACAUUAAAUAUAUAAAAAAUACAACAAACAACUAGUAUUUAAGCUUUAUAAAAACAAAAACAUAAUGCAUGGCUCGACCAGCCGAAUAACAAAACAUUUUGAAACCGCGAUUCACCACCGCAAGGGGGACCCUCCGGUUUAUAAUAUAAACUCAAUUCUGCGAUUCUGAACUCUAGACCCUCCAGAAUAAAAAAGUAUCCUUUCCCAGAAAGGAUCAAAACAAUAAGUAU